UGGCACUGUCAGGAGAUAAUUUCUCAUGGUUGAAGAAAUCUUUUAUUCUGCAGGGAAGUGAAGUAACCUGGCAUUAUGGGCCUGUGCCAGAUUCCGACGCAGACAAUGGAGUGAUUUCAGAGGCCACUGAGUCUGGAAGGAAGAAUGACAACCCACAAUUGGCUCAAAUGAGUCCUCCCAUUGCUCACUGCUGAUGUAAUGCAGCAGAAAAGGGCUGCAGCUCCCCACUGUAAUAGCAUCUAUUCAGCAGGCUGCCUUUUUCUUGCGUGGGAUGGAGACCCCUGCACACAGGUGCCCUGUUUCCCAAAUCUGGGAGGAAGAAGUUCAGUUUGAAGACUCUAUCCCUUUGAAGACAGGUUAUUUGGAAUGCAAGAAUGAUGGAGCAAUGAGGGCAUGAGUAUUAACUUUGGAGAAGCAAGUCCUAUCCCUAUCUCAGCUCUUACUUCAUUUCAGGACUCCUGGGAAGGCUUUUUUGUUGUCUUGGUUCCCAAUCCGUGCAGCGUGUGUGGGAGCACGUUCUAUCUCUCUGUAGUGUUGUGAUGAUAACACAGGGGUGACUGUUCCAUGACUGGGUGCUCUGGUGGCAGGAAGGGGAAGGCCGUGCGUUUACCUCAGAUAUGUUACACCAGAAGAUGACACCACCCAGAAAAAAUGAAUUUUGUUCAUAGUUUUCAAAGACUGUGGACAGAAGGGUGUGGGGGGAGGCAUUUAGCCCCAGUUCUCAGAAGCAAUAUGCUUUUACUGGCAGCAUAUGAGGACCCAGACUUAGAUGUUUGUGUUAUGAAAAGGACUGCCAAGCAGGAGAACUGGCAGCUGAAUGUAUGCAAUGUCCUUCCUGUCUUGGCAGAAAUCUCAUCAACAGCACGAUGGAGCAGAUCAUGGUAGAGGUCUCUGAACCCUUGGAGAGGAUUCCUCUGCUCAACCAAAAGCAACUACAAACUAGACAUGAGUACUCUAGGUUCCCUUUGCAGGCCUUGAUGGGCUGCUUCAGAACGUGAUUUAUUAUAUCCUUACAUCCUAAAAGAGCGUUUAAGCCAGGGGAAUCGUGGGUUGGCUGCUGUGAAGAAUCAGUGCCUUGGCUGGCGCAGCCUGCCCAUGCUGCCAUUGCUACACAGCUGCUUCGACCCCUUCUUCUUCAGCUGCUGCUUUUCAUGGACUUUCACAAAAGAAAACUCAAGUGGAAGCUGCUAAAAGGCCCCAACCCAUCACACCACAGGCAUGUUUGGAACAUGAUCCUGAGUUGCAGGAGUUCCUGGAGAGAGAGGAGAGAUGGAUGUUCUGUUAGUCACGUCUGACCUGAAAGAGUCUGGCAGAUCCCUCUGCAAGCACUCUCCACAAGGAGAUAGCCCAAUCAGAAGAGUUCUUUGCAUGGGUAAGGAUCAAACUUCUGGAAAACAGAAUGACAGAGUCUUUUUCAUACCAGAUGAUGCUGUGUAAACACAAGGCUUGGUGGUUCAGCCAUAAGAAGAGACUUAUGCUUCUCACCUAAAGUGUUGGAUUGCCUUGUCCCAGAAUGGUUUCUGACAGCAUGAAAUAUUUACAUGCCACAGCCUGAUGCUUCUCACCAGGACCAGUCAGCUCAGCAGGCCUUCAAGAUGGAUCAGCUCCUUGAGGUAAAGCACAGAGAGUGCACCUGGCACUGCUCGCACCUCCGAUGUGACACUGACAACACCAUUGUCUCUUCAGACCAUUUGUCUACCCAAGUAUCAGUGGCAAAUUGGAAGUCACAAAUCUUGAUAUUUAGACAAGAAUAUCAGAGCACUGAUCCAGAUUGGUCUGAUUUCAUGAAUUCCAGGACUUGGGAGAUGAUUAGGACCUUACCAGCCCAGCUUCUGCUCCUACACCGUGUCUGUUAGCUUUUUGAACACCUGCUGCUACCUUUUUUGCCAACUUGCUCCAUGAUGUGUACAGAGAAAUGCCAACUGCAGCUGGGCAGGAGAGGCACCUCAUCCCUCUUUCAUUGAUUUUUCACUUAUGUCAUUUAUUCUUUGUAAUUACGUGACUUGAAACCUUGCUUGUGCAUUUGUUAGGGCUAUGUAAUCCUGUGGUUUCCUAUAACUUCAAUUUUCCUUUUUCAGUUCCUUCUGAUUGCUUGUUACAACCACCUUCUGCAAUUUUCCAUAAAUCAGAUGGCAAGGUUAGAAGGGGAGAGUGAUCAUUUCUGAUUUGAUCCUUUUUAGAUCAUUCCCAUAAUGCACAGAGCACCCACAGGCUUAGUCCCAGAGUCCCAUCAUGCAAAGUUGGGUUGAGAAAUCUUCCCUGCCACAGCACAGAGCAUUUUAGCAGCUGUUCUGCCUGAGCAGAAGCAGGAUGAGCAAGAAAUAAAAUUAUUGAGCAUUUUGUACUCAAUUCUUUGUCCCGUAAAUAUAAGACUUUCUUCUGUGUUGUGAAUAUUGUGUCGUAUUGUGUCAUGACCUUACAUAUUCUCAUGGAAGAGGCCAGCUCCAGCAAAUGGAGUAAGACAGCCUCAAGUCAGCCCUAAAUGUUGUAGCAAAUACUGAAAUGAUGCUGGGGAUUGAGGGUGGCACCUGAGUAUUGAAGACUCAACUGCAGAUUUUGUAGAGCAUCAGAAGGAGACAUGUACCCACUCUGUCUAAAGGAAACAUCUAGCUGUACUCUGAAUUUUAUUCACCUCUGAAACAGUCUUUAAAAGGUCAGAAUCCAUGUGUUCCGCAUGGUCAACAGAAAGAGGUAAGUGUCUUUGGGAAACUCCAGAGGAAGAUCCUUUCCACCUAAACUGGGUGCCUAAACUUAGUCAGGUUUUUUGACCAGAGAUCUCCACCAGCAGAUAGCUCCUGCUACAGGAAACCCAACCUAGAAUGGGGAAGAAUUGUACGAGGUUUUGGAAAUCUAUGGUGUAAUUUAGUUGCCCACAUUACCCCGACUAAACCUCAUCCAGACCUUCAAUAGUCCCAGGACUAAGGGCCAAUUCUGUCACAGGUAAUGACAAUUUACAGUCCCUCUUCCCAUCUGCAUUAUCUGCUUUAAACUCUGCUGCAGUGCAGCUGUACUGUGCUGUUAAUAUUUGAUGCUCGACACCCAUCAGAUGGCUGCAAAUCAGCAGUGGCUGGCUCCCACUGUUUUGUUAAUGAGGUCUGUUACAAUCCUUCCGGAUGAUUCUACAAACCACGAGAUCUGUUUUAUUAUUAUCUGUUAAUGAUUAUCUCAUAUCAUUAAGCUGUAUCUAGCUACAUUAAUUUUUAGUUAUGUAAUUGCUUCAUAUUUGUUCAGAGUGAAAAAUAAGAAAGCCAUCUUUAAUUAGGACUUGGAAACAGUGAUGGAUUCAAAUGAUUAACAGAACUAAUGAACAAAAUCUGAGUUUCUGCUGUUCCCUCUGUCAUAUUGCUAGGCAAAGUGUCACCACGGUGUUUGACCCUGAAUGCCUCAGUUUCUCUUUGAAAAAAUGCCUGCAUCUCCAGUGAUGUUGGGAAUCUUAAUUGGUUAAUACUUUCAACACACUUUUAGUUGCUCAGAUGAAAGACUUCCCUAAUGCAAAGUAUUACUACAUGCUAGGUUCAUGUCUGGAGCAAAUUUUUAAAACAAACCAUAUGAAAAGCUGAAUUAAGAAUGGAAAUGCUGAUCCAGCCAUUAAUUACUCCACAUCAGAGAGUGGGCAGAGGGUCUCCUUUUAUGUUGUUUAUUUCAAACAAACAACUCUGGGAAUCUCCUGUGGAAAUGAAACACACACACACAAAAAAAACCCAAAGCCCUUUCAUGGGUAUUUUUGGUUUAUCUCCACAUGAAUCUUAAAUUCGUCAUGUGGAGGGAAUGUGGAACGCAUUUUUUUCUCCUGUACACACACUCACUUUCCCACAAUGAACAAAAUCUAUUUUCCUGUGCCAUUUGUCUGCUUUUUCACCCCAGGGUAACAAAAUAAUGCAGAAAGUAGGAGCACCCCGUCUAUGAACCCUGCUGAAAAGCAAAUAAAUAAAUAUGAAUAAAUAAAUAAAUAAAUAAAUAGGAAAAGAGGGGUGGCUCGGAGGGUUCCCAGGAAUACCAGACGUGUUUAACACAGUGCAUACAGCACAUACCCCCGCAGCUCCUAAUUCCUCAGCUAUUGCUCAGCAGUGAGUCAGAAACUCAGGCUCGGCGGUGACUCACGCGGGGCCCCGAAAUGCCGCUGAGCUUCCAGCACACGUGUGUGCACCUCGCUCUUUCCCCAAUUUAAUUCUUAAAAAGAUUUUGCUGCUUGAGAUGUAACAUCUCAAGAGGAGUUAGCUGUCAGCAGAAGCCCUUCUCUGGCUGCAUGAAAAGCUUAGCUUCUCACAAUGAGUACUGAUUUAAACAUGUGCUGAAGGAGGCAGACAUCUUCCACAAAAGGUUUGUUCCCAUAACACUUGGAUACUCACUGCUCUGAACCCUUAUGAACUCUGCUAAUCAGGUACCAAAGGAGAGGAGGGUAUCUAAUAGCUGUUUGUGGCUGUGCUUGCACUCACAGCUCAGUUUCAGUGAAAUAUCCACUACCGCACAAUAUGAACAAACACCCCACCCACACACGGUUUCUAGAUUCAUGAUAUAACCCAAGGAAAUAUUUUGGUUUUAGCAGGUCUUCAGAUUUUAGAGAAGAUCUGUAAUUUGUGCAUGCACUUUGAACCUGGUGUGCCUCUGUAUUUUUUUCCUGUUACUCCCUUUAUUGCUGUCUGUAGUGAUGCUGGGAUACAGACAUAGUUACACAUCUAUUUAGAUGUGAGCUUUGGACAUGAAAUUACUUUGACAUCAGGUUGCUCUGUAAGAUUCCAAGGGAGUGUCUCCUCGCUGCAGUCCCUGCUGCUUGCAGAUCUCUCUGUGCUGUGAUGAAUUGCCUCUGCUCAGCCCUGGAGCAUGAGCUUGUUCAUCAGCAUUAUAUGUGCCACGAGGUGAUAACAGUGGUAGUCUGAGCUCUCUCAGGACAGACUUUUGGCUCGCUGCAUCCUUUCCUCUUAUUUUAUAACCAAUACAAAUUAGUUCAUUUUUGAAGGUUCGUUAUAGCGUCAACCAGCCAUUUCACACAAUGCACCAUUACAAUGAACUAGGCUUUUCCCAAGCAGUAGAUGGCAACUGAUAGAGUAUUAACUCUCCCAUGCGGCAUUUUUCAUGGGUUGAAAAUGCCUUUGCAAGCUUCCUAUGCUUCUGCAUGGCUCCGGCCUGUGCUGAUGUGCUGACAGCCUUUGCACGUUACAGCUAGAAAUGAUGGGCGUUCUUAUUUUGCCUACUCAUUUGUACACCCUCAUUUCAGUGUCAAAACCCCCCACUGUGGCUUAAAGAAGGUCUGUUUGCCAAAAAAUACCCUUGUCUGUUUGAUACAGUGUUAUGAUUGAUGUUUCUCUCCAUACUUUAGGAAAAAAAAAAAAAGUCUGACACACCAGCUCUGGCAGUGGGUGCUGCAGAAGUUCAGAUGUUAGCAGAGCCAGCUGUCCGCCCCCCUUGCCAAAAAUUAAUUUCCCAGAGCAGAGUCAGCAGAAGCGAACACACGCCCAGUCCCCAGCAGCUUCAGCGCAAAGCCCAGCUUCAGCUGGAACUUGUCUGGCCACAAAUUUUUAAUGAUAGGCAACAGUUCUGAUUAGAAAAUGAUCACAUUCAUUAAAAUUCCUUCACUCGAGUCCUACGGCUGGAUCAUGCAUGCAGACUGUAUGACAUAAAGUACGUUGCGCAAACUCUUAUCCCCUUCCUCUCAGCAGAGUAUUAUUUCUCAGCAGACUAUCUAAAUUAGUUGGCUUUUACCACUCUAAGAUCUCCUGCUCGCCUGUUAAAUGGCCUUUUUAAGUGUUAAUUUCCUAUUUUUGGCCCUUCUUGUCUCUGUAGUAAAUAUGCAUUUCUAAGUUCAAGUACUCUGGAAAAAUGCUUUGUGUCUGGAAUGAAAUAAUCAAGUCAGUGAUAUGUCUGUUAAAUUUCUGCUAGCGUAAACAAGAGGAACACUGAUCUCAAAAGAGCAAAGUGAUUUAUAUCAGUCAAAAAUACAGGCCUGCUGUCUUCAAAAAUGUUUGUCCUCAUUUAUUUUAAUAGGCAUAAGAGACUCAAAGUCUCCUAAAAUCAGACCCAAAGGCUUUUCGGAGGAUUAUCUCGGAGGUUACAGAACUGACUGAAGACUUGAUGGAAAGAUAAAAUUUUUGCAAACCUUUGCGUUGCCAAAAAAAAGGUGUUUAAUGAGAAAACCAGCAACAUUUUCUGCUUUAGCUAUAUACAUAGCAUGCUUUUAUGGUCCAUGAUUUAUGAAAGCUGAUGCUUUUUACUUUUAUCACUGCACAGGACACUGCAAAACAUGUAUGAGGACAUUAUGCACAGCUUUGUCAAGUGGCAGGAAGACAGCGCAGACUGGAAGUGCUGCUCCAGGUGCAGCAGCGUGCCAGUGGCCAGCUCCAGCUGUGCUUAUCGGCACUGCCGCUGACCUUUCAAGCCACUUCUCACUCUCAAUUUGUUUGCUCUCCUUAUCAGCCCUGAACCUUGCCAAUACAGCUCUAAGAGAAGUCUGUAGCAUGGAACGGGAUGCACAGAAGUGCAGGAAGAGGUUGGUGCCCUCUGUGACCUGGUUAUCUGUCAGGAAGUCAGUGCAGUCACUUUCCCCUUGCCACAGAGCUUACAGAAAGCAUACUUUCCGAUACAGAUAAUUUUACUAGGAGGUGGUGGUUGCAAUUCCCUUUAUAGCUACUGAUUGAUAAUUGCAGAGCUAAUGUAAUUAUACUGUAGCCAGUUGAGUUAGAGUGAAUUUCUAAAAGCGCCUUGUGCCAUACAGCCACCGGUUACUGAGAGCCUGAGAAAUCUCAAACAGAUGAAUUUUCCAUUCCUUACUCUUACUACAGCUCACAUUGGAGGCUCGUCUGUUAAGAAAGACACUUGCUGGGACCAGGGUGAGUAUAGAGUCAUACAUAAAUAUAGCACUUGGAAAACGUUCCACCUGACAUUAAUACAGCUUGUCUUCUAGGAAUGAGAUUCAAAACUGAGGGGAUGACAACUGCCCGCUCAUGGAGAGAAGGGUGAAGAUAUGCUCUGUGCACAGGCAUGUAACUUUCUUUAGGGUGUUUUCUCUUUUGUGGAACACAGGUUUACUUGGCUUUGCAGGUAUUUUUAUAAUGUUCAUUUAUAUAGAACCUAAAUUUUUUUAAUCUCACUAUGCAGUAUUAAAAAAUAGCAAUCUUUAAAACUCACCUUUUCACACUUAUAAGUAAAACUGUAAAAAUUACUUUGGCUAAGAAGGCAGUGAAUACGUUUAUGAAGUAUAAAUUAUCAUCCUUCAUUAAAAACUUGUCACCCUGUUUUGUCCCUUCAUCAUAUAGACUUGUGCUGCCCGAAAAGAUGCAAAAAUGUCAGUACAUGACCUAAAAUAAUUCAAGUGAUAAAGUCAAGUGCUAAUUGAAGUCCUGCACAAUCAAAAAAGACUGCUCAGGAACACAUUAUGCUUACAUCUGUGGCAAGUCACUCAUUGCUGAACCCUUCUUUGCCAAACUCUUUUGCAAAUGCUGUUAUGGUGGUAAAUAUUUUACUGGCUUAAAGUCAGAGGGGUAGGUUAAAACUCUUGUUAUUAUGAACUUGCUGCACAUCAGCUGUACGUGACAUGUUCCCAUGCCAUGGCAGAUGUGAGGUGUUCAGAAGUGGGUUAACCCAAGGGUCUGUAUGCUCGCCUCAGUCAGGCUCUAGGUAAUUAGGAUUGCUGUAGCAUAUUUUUUCACUUGUAAUUAAGCUGCCUCAAACUGUCUUCACAGCAGCAGCGAGUGAGGAUGUGCAUGGGUGAAUCAGCUGGCAUAGUAAUUUUACCCCUCAGUAACUUGUAUAACAGCUUUUGUUCAUGUGCCUGAGUCUUUGAUCGCCUUCUUGACUUCUUUUAUAUCACAAGGUGUUAUCAGGACAUCUCAUCAUUUCUGCGGGCUGCAAAGUCUCACUCAGCAUCUUUUUAAUGAAUCCAUAUUGUUAAUGCAAUCUUUCAAUGGCACGGAGUUUUCUUGCAAAAAUAAGGGUUGAGAUCAGACUUGUGGCACAUUACUACCUGGAAGGUCAGUUGGGCUUCUUCAGAUGACAGACUGACUUCUAAAGAAAAAGACUAUGCACCUACUAUCAAAAGCAGUACCAUCAUGGUAAAAAAGUCUCUCAUUGCUGAAGAAUAAUAUCAUGAGAAGCAUAUGUCAGGGAAAUAAACUACGACAAAAGGAGACCAGUGAUAGAUGACCAAGUGAACGCAAGACUGGCAGCCAAGACAUAUGGAUCCACUUCCCAGCUCCAUCACUGUCUGAGUAAAUGGCCAUGAACAAGAACCCUCUGCGUGUCCAUCUAUCUGUAGUGUCCAUGAAACAAUAUCGAGUUAGCACAAGGGCGUUCACCAUGUUCAUAUUCAAAAAAAAAAAAAAAAA
Anas platyrhynchos (mallard) is the source of this 8318-nucleotide non-coding RNA. The record is from RefSeq and is a predicted model, not a curated record. Lineage: Eukaryota; Metazoa; Chordata; Aves; Anseriformes; Anatidae.